AUUGAACGCUGGCGGCAAGCCUUACACAUGCAAGUCGAACGGCAGCACGGGUGCUUGCACCUGGUGGCGAGUGGCGAACGGGUGAGUAAUACAUCGGAACAUGUCCUGUAGUGGGGGAUAGCCCGGCGAAAGCCGGAUUAAUACCGCAUACGAUCUACGGAUGAAAGCGGGGGACCUUCGGGCCUCGCGCUAUAGGGUUGGCCGAUGGCUGAUUAGCUAGUUGGUGGGGUAAAGGCCUACCAAGGCGACGAUCAGUAGCUGGUCUGAGAGGACGACCAGCCACACUGGGACUGAGACACGGCCCAGACUCCUACGGGAGGCAGCAGUGGGGAAUUUUGGACAAUGGGCGAAAGCCUGAUCCAGCAAUGCCGCGUGUGUGAAGAAGGCCUUCGGGUUGUAAAGCACUUUUGUCCGGAAAGAAAUCCUUGGCCCUAAUACGGUCGGGGGAUGACGGUACCGGAAGAAUAAGCACCGGCUAACUACGUG
Molecule: ribosomal RNA, 486 nt
Filed under: uncultured bacterium
Lineage: Bacteria
Description: partial 16S ribosomal RNA
Rfam family: Bacterial small subunit ribosomal RNA
Source: RNAcentral